Long non-coding RNA from Oxyura jamaicensis (ruddy duck), 3012 nucleotides. RefSeq lists it as uncharacterized. The record is from RefSeq and is a predicted model, not a curated record. The transcript has 3 exons. Lineage: Eukaryota; Metazoa; Chordata; Aves; Anseriformes; Anatidae.
UCUUAGAGGAUUUCUCUGUCUCAAUGAAGUAAUAAUAAAGGCGGCUGACCACAGUCUGGGCUAGCGCCAACUGCGCGGGGGGGGAGGGGGAGGAAUAUCCCUGCUCCCAGAGUCCUGAGGAGAGGAGGAAGAGCGGAGGAUUGUUGCAGCACAAGUUCUUGCUCUUGGUGAAAAAAUCUCUCUUCUCUGGAAAUUCAUUUCCAUUUACUUAAACGGUUUGACUUUGAAUUUUCAUUAUCUGCUGUUGGAAGGAGCCUGUGACAGCCCAUGUAAGUGUUCCUAAACCAAGAUAAUUUUCAGAAGCAGCUAUCAGUGUUUCCUGGAAAUAUAGUAAGAAGAUGCAGCUUAAGGUUUUUGACUCCUGGACAACCUUCUCUACAUGUCCUGCCUCUAAUUCAGAAGGAGCAGAAGUCAAACAUGCUAUUUCUCUUAAUUCCUUUUUGAUGAACAAAUCCCAGUCAAUUACACAUACAGAGGGAAAAAAAAAAAAAAAAAAAAAAAAAAAAAGCACACUAAGCUUUUUCUCAGAGCACUUUCAGACAAGCCUGAUAUAAUACAGGUUAGCCUCUUCUCCUUAAGCUACUAACAGUACUUUGUUGAUUCAUUCAGCAGUGAACAUGAAACAAAAAUUCACAAGACCACGCAUACCCAUUUCCUUCCUUACUUUCCAGGUUGGAAGUCCCAGCCAGCACUAAAACCAACACCGUACUAAGUGUGGUUCUCUUUGCAGCAGAGCAUUAAUCAGCACAGUUUAAAGCUGUACUAGAUCCUUAAAGCCAAGCUUCUCCAAAGUUUUCUGCUUUAUAGUAAGAGCAUUAUUUUUUCAUUCACCUAAUAACAAGUGUUUUUGCAUAGCAUGAUCCCAGGUGGGCAGCCACACAAAUCUGGGACUCUCCAAGCAGUUUCUGAAACAUUAAGUAUAUAUGAGAGUCAUAAAUAAAUACUUUCAGUGAUCUUAGUGUUUGUUGGUUCAUUUUUUCAAAAAGAAUCAACAUUUGUAAGAAAAUGUGUCAGAAGCCUGAAUGCAGACUAGCCUCUGAAAAUAUACCCUUGUCUAGGUACAGGAAUCUCUAAGAGGGUACCAUUCUUAUUUAUGGUUACUAUUUUGCAGUUUUAGUUCUCACUGUUAAGCUGAUUGUCCAAAUUCCUUCCUGCCUUUUCUUAAUCAAUAAAUUCAAGUAUUGAGCAUACUCUCAGGAGAUCUUCAAACAUCUCAAAUCUCAUUCUUUCCAUUUCAGACUUCUCUUGGGUUAAAAGCAAACAAGCAAGCAAGCCUUUCUGUAGCAGUUAUGCACGGUCUAUCAGAAACCUUAGAGAGAGAGCUUUAUUCCCUUCAAAGUUACACCUUCAUCCACAGUAUUUGCACUUCAGACAUUACUAUCCAUACAAUUGCAGCCACUGAGUAGAACAGAAUAAAGCAUUUAACCAAGUACCCUUGCUUUUCACUCUUCAGACUUGGGGUUUUCAUUUCUACAAAAAAGGAAAGUGAUCAGAGAUAAUUUUAGUCCAUUUUGACAGGAAGGGUAGCUCAGACUGGUCAUAAAUUCUGCCAAAUUCAAAACAUGAUAAACUGUAGGCGUCAGUUUCUUUUGUGUUUUGUUUGGUAUUAUUUUUUAUUUGGAAAUAAGUCUUUUCACAACUUAAAAGUAUACUUUUACUUAUCAGAAAGUGGUUUGGACAGUAAUUUCUGUUUGAAUAAAAUUAAUGCCUUUACUGUAUUCACCAGAAUUAUCUCCCAAAAAGCUACUUAACAUUCUCUUGCAUUUUUCACUUUUCACUGUUAGAUUUUUUUCACUGUUAGCAACAUAGGGGAUGAAGAACUUCUGGACUCUGAAGGAAGUUGCCUACUCAUCAGUAUAAUCUUUUUUAAAAUGUUAUGGAAUUUAACCAUUGUUGUGUGAUUACUCUUUUAAAGCAAUAUAUCUUUAGCUAUAGUGCUUAUAACAUGGGUAGAUAUGAAUAUACUUAAGAAAAUUAUAACUUCUUAGUUCAAAAUCUAUUAAAUAGGCUUUAUUGUACAUUUCUUGUUUUUAUUGUAAGACUUACUCAUUUGUCUUUAUUCGACAUCCAGUAAUAUGUCUGUAUUUGCUUUAUCUUAAAAAAAAAAAAAAAAAAGUUGACUUAUUUACUAGCCUCUUGAUGGUAUUGGUAAGUGAAAGUGAGCAUUUGCUAAGGGUGUCACCUUUGUCUCCAUAGCAGUGGACCUUAUUCAGAAGAAAAAGCAAGAGAACCCCUUCAGCCAAAUUAUUAUUUCUUCUGACAUGGAUCUUUUAUUCCAGGGAAAAUCUCCUACAGGUUUUCAGGUUUAUUUCAUUUGAUAUAGAUUUUGCCUUUUCAGUUUGGAACAAAAAAGUAUCAGAGUUCAUACAAGUAGAUGUUAAAAAAAAUAGCAACAAUAUCUGCACAAUGAAAGAGUUUUAGUUGCAAGUUUUCAAUUUCUGCAACAAUUUUCUGGAAAAGGGGUUUUGUUUCAAAGCAUGUAGUAUCAUGGGAAGUUUUAUCAUUAGUAAUAACAGUAAAAAUACUUCAUUUAACUGGACUAAAAAUCAAUAUUUCUCCCUAAAAUAAUUAAACCAUAUGUAAAUAAGAACUAUCAUAAAGGUACACAUAAAGGUACAAAUAAUUCAGAAACCUGGGGGGAUUGGGGGAGGGGGGGAAUAGCCAGACCAGAUAGCAGUAGUUUUUCAAAUUCUCAAAUUCAAUAACUGAAUUAAUUAGAAACAGUUUAUUUUGUCUUGAAAAAUGUUGUUAACAGUCCAUGGUAUUUUCUGGUAUCAGUUCAAUAACUUAUUUUCUAUAUCUGGUCUUUCACUGUAUGUCAAAGUACAACUCCAUUUAUCUACAAUGUAUUGUAAUUAAUUACUGUUUCUGAAGCUGAACUUUUGAUUCCAGUGAGUUUUACUCAACUCUUUUGAGCUCGUGCAGAAAGACAAGGGGUGAAGAUCUGCAUAAUAAGGAAAACACUAUAUGCAAAAGAAUCUUGAAUUAAUAAAAUGACUAAAGCUGAAUGUA